AAUAAGCCACGGCUAACUCUGUGCCAGCAGCCGCGGUAAGACAGAGGUGGCGAGCGUUGUUCGGAAUUACUGGGCUUAAAGGGCGAGUAGGCGGUGGGACAAGUCUGAUGUGGAAUCUUAGGGCUUAACCCUAAAACUGCAUUAGAAACUGUUUUACUUGAGUCAGUGAGGGGAGGGCGGAAUUCCCGGUGUAGCGGUGAGAUGCGUAGAUAUCGGGAGGAAGGCCGGUGGCGAAGGCGGCCCUCUGGCACUGUACUGACGCUGAGGCGCGAAAGCGUGGGGAGCAAACAGGAUUAGAUACCCUGGUAGUCCACGCCCUAAACGGUGGGCAUUAGGUGUAGGGCUCGCAAGGGUUCUGUGCCGAAGGGAAACCA
RNAcentral lists this ribosomal RNA (374 nucleotides) under uncultured Nitrospirota bacterium. RNAcentral describes it as "bacterial SSU rRNA". It matches the Rfam family "Bacterial small subunit ribosomal RNA", at positions 485 to 859 of the family's 1533-position model. The record is from RNAcentral. Lineage: Bacteria; Pseudomonadati; Nitrospirota.